CGGGUACAACGAGUCGCAAGCUCGCGAGAGUAAGCUAAUCUCUUAAAGCCGUUCUCAGUUCGGACUGUAGGCUGCAACUCGCCUACACGAAGUCGGAAUCGCUAGUAAUCGCGGAUCAGCAUGCCGCGGUGAAUACGUUCCCGGGCCUUGUACACACCGCCCGUCACACCAUGGGAGUUUGUAACGCCCAAAGUCGGUGGCCUAACCUUUAUGGAGGGAGCCGCCUAAGGCGGGACAGAUGACUGGGGGUGAAGUCGUAACAAGGUACC
Molecule: ribosomal RNA, 269 nt
Filed under: uncultured bacterium
Lineage: Bacteria
Description: partial 16S ribosomal RNA
Rfam family: Bacterial small subunit ribosomal RNA
Source: RNAcentral